RNAcentral lists this ribosomal RNA (504 nucleotides) under uncultured bacterium. RNAcentral describes it as "bacterial SSU rRNA". It matches the Rfam family "Bacterial small subunit ribosomal RNA", at positions 21 to 507 of the family's 1533-position model. The record is from RNAcentral.
GGCUCAGGAUGAACGCUGGCGGCGUGCCUAAUACAUGCAAGUCGAACGCACAGCGAAAGGUGCUUGCACCUUUCAAGUGAGUGGCGAACGGGUGAGUAACACGUGGAUAACCUACCUCAAGGUUGGGGAUAACAUUUGGAAACAGAUGCUAAUACCGAAUAAAACUUCGUAUCGCAUGAUACAAGGUUAAAAGGCGCUACGGCGUCACCUAGAGAUGGAUCCGCGGUGCAUUAGUUAGUUGGUGGGGUAAAGGCCUACCAAGACAAUGAUGCAUAGCCGAGUUGAGAGACUGAUCGGCCACAUUGGGACUGAGACACGGCCCAAACUCCUACGGGAGGCUGCAGUAGGGAAUCUUCCACAAUGGGCGAAAGCCUGAUGGAGUAACGCCGCGUGUGUGAUGAAGGCUUUCGGGUCGUAAAGCACUGUUGUAUGGGAAGAACAGCUAGAGUAGGGAAUGACUUUAGUUUGACGGUACCAUACCAGAAAGGGACGGCUAAAUACGUG